AGGGCACCACCAGGAGUGGAGCCUGCGGCUUAAUUUGACUCAACACGGUGAAACUCACCCGGCCCGGACACCGGAAGGAUUGACAGAUUGAUAGCUCUUUCUUGAUUCGGUGGAUGGUGGUGCAUGGCCGUUCUUAGUUGGUGGAGCGAUCUGUCUGGUUAAUUCCGAUAACGAACGAGACUCUAGCCUAUUAAAUAGACGUCGGGUUCUCCGCACUCGACGGUCUUCUUAGAGGGACAAGGUGCUUUUAGCACCGCGAAACAGAGCAAUAACAGGUCUGUGAUGCCCUUAGAUGUCCGGGGCCGCACGCGCGCUACACUGAAGGAAGCAGCGUGUAACAACCUUGUUCUAACGAACUGGGUAACCCGUGGAACUUCCUUCAUGAUUGGGAUAGGGGUUUGCAAUUGUGCCCCUUGAACGAGGAAUUCCCAGUAAACACUAGUCAUCAGCUAGUGCUGAUUACGUCCCCGCCCUUUGUACACACCGCCCGUCGCUACUACCGAUUGAAUGGUUUAGUGA
Molecule: ribosomal RNA, 519 nt
Filed under: uncultured eukaryote
Lineage: Eukaryota
Description: SSU rRNA
Rfam family: Eukaryotic small subunit ribosomal RNA
Source: RNAcentral